This 492-nucleotide ribosomal RNA is filed under the name uncultured bacterium. RNAcentral's name for it is "partial 16S ribosomal RNA". It matches the Rfam family "Bacterial small subunit ribosomal RNA", at positions 30 to 507 of the family's 1533-position model. The record is from RNAcentral.
AUUGAACGCUGGCGGCAUGCUUUACACAUGCAAGUCGAACGGUAACAGGCCUUCGGGUGCUGACGAGUGGCGAACGGGUGAGUAAUGCAUCGGAACGUGCCCAGAGGUGGGGGAUAACGCAGCGAAAGCUGUGCUAAUACCGCAUGUGAUCUGAGGAUGAAAGCGGGGGACCAGGCAGCAAUGUUUGGCCUCGCGCCUUUGGAGCGGCCGAUGUCAGAUUAGGUAGUUGGUGGGGUAAAGGCCUACCAAGCCGACGAUCUGUAGCUGGUCUGAGAGGACGACCAGCCACACUGGGACUGAGACACGGCCCAGACUCCUACGGGAGGCAGCAGUGGGGAAUUUUGGACAAUGGGCGCAAGCCUGAUCCAGCAAUGCCGCGUGCGGGAAGAAGGCCUUCGGGUUGUAAACCGCUUUUGUACGGAACGAAAAGGAUCUGGCUAAUACCUGGGGCUGAUGACGGUACCGAAAGAAUAAGCACCGGCUAACUACGUG